RNAcentral lists this ribosomal RNA (735 nucleotides) under uncultured bacterium. RNAcentral describes it as "bacterial SSU rRNA". It matches the Rfam family "Bacterial small subunit ribosomal RNA", at positions 94 to 826 of the family's 1533-position model. The record is from RNAcentral.
ACCGGCGCACGGGUGAGUAACACGUAUGCAACCUACCUUCAACACGGGGAUAACCCGUUGAAAGACGGACUAAUAUCCGAUAAUACAGGGGCACCGCUUGGUGAUAUUUGUUAAAGAUUAAUCGGUUGAAGAUGGGCAUGCGUAUGAUUAGCUAGUUGGCGGGGUAACGGCCCACCAAGGCAACGAUCAUUAGGGGUUCUGAGAGGAAGGUCCCCCACACUGGUACUGAGACACGGACCAGACUCCUACGGGAGGCAGCAGUGAGGAAUAUUGGUCAAUGGGCGCGAGCCUGAACCAGCCAAGUCGCGUGAAGGAUGACGGUCCUAUGGAUUGUAAACUUCUUUUGUGCAGGAAUAAAGUGAGGAACGUGUUCCUUUUUGUAUGUACUGUACGAAUAAGCAUCGGCUAACUCCGUGCCAGCAGCCGCGGUAAUACGGAGGAUGCGAGCGUUAUCCGGAUUUAUUGGGUUUAAAGGGUGCGUAGGCGGGCUGAUAAGUCAGUGGUGAAAGUUUGCAGCUUAACUGUAAAAUUGCCAUUGAAACUGUUAGUCUUGAGUGCAAAUGAGGUAGGCGGAAUGUGUUGUGUAGCGGUGAAAUGCUUAGAUAUAACACAGAACUCCGAUUGCGAAGGCAGCUUACUGGGAUGCAACUGACGCUGAUGCACGAAAGCGUGGGUAUCAAACAGGAUUAGAUACCCUGGUAGUCCACGCAGUAAACGAUGAAUACUAACUGUUUG